GCUGAGAUGGCCGAGUGGUCUAAGGCGCGUGACUUAAGCAGAUUAGCGAGUGCUUAUAUCUCGUGGCGCAAGCCGCGUGGGUUCGAACCCCACUCUCAGCA
Moniliophthora roreri MCA 2997 is the source of this 101-nucleotide transfer RNA. It matches the Rfam family "tRNA". Rfam says of the family: Transfer RNA (tRNA) molecules are approximately 80 nucleotides in length. NCBI's taxonomy places the organism in Eukaryota, Fungi, Basidiomycota, Agaricomycetes, Agaricales, Marasmiaceae. The record is from Rfam.